Molecule: ribosomal RNA, 254 nt
Filed under: uncultured bacterium
Lineage: Bacteria
Description: partial 16S ribosomal RNA
Rfam family: Bacterial small subunit ribosomal RNA
Source: RNAcentral
UACGGGGGGAGCAAGCGUUGUUCGGAUUUACUGGGCGUAAAGGGCGCGUAGGCGGCCUCCGCAAGUCAGUUGUGAAAUCUCCGAGCUUAACUCGGAAAGGUCAACUGAUACUGCGGGGCUAGAGUGCGGAAGGGGCAACUGGAAUUCUUGGUGUAGCGGUGAAAUGCGUAGAUAUCAAGAGGAACACCUGCGGCGAAGGCGGGUUGCUGGGCCGACACUGACGCUGAGGCGCGAAAGCCAGGGGAGCGAACGGG